CCUACGGGAGGCAGCAGUGAGGAAUAUUGGUCAAUGGCCGCAAGGCUGAACCAGCCAAGCCGCGUGAAGGAUGAAGGUACCAAGGAUUGUAAACUUCUUUUGUCAAGGAACAAAGUCAGGCACGUGUGCCUGUUUGAGUGUACUUGAAGAAUAAGCAUCGGCUAACUCCGUGCCAGCAGCCGCGGUAAUACGGAGGAUGCGAGCGUUAUCCGGAUUUAUUGGGUUUAAAGGGUGCGUAGGCGGACUGUUAAGUCAGCGGUAAAAGCCCGGGGCUCAACCCCGGCGAGCCGUUGAAACUGGCUGUCUUGAGAUGUCGAGAGGGAUGCGGAAUGCGCAGGGUAGCGGUGAAAUGCUGAGAUAUUGCGCAGAACUCCGAGUGCGAAGGCAGCAUACCGGCGGCGAGCUGACGCUGAGGCACGAAAGCGUGGGUAUCGAACAGGAUUAGAUACCCGGGUAGUC
RNAcentral lists this ribosomal RNA (459 nucleotides) under uncultured bacterium. Its description in RNAcentral is "partial 16S ribosomal RNA". It matches the Rfam family "Bacterial small subunit ribosomal RNA", at positions 338 to 795 of the family's 1533-position model. The record is from RNAcentral.